UAGGGAAUAUUGGACAAUGGGCGCAAGCCUGAUCCAGCCAUGCCGCGUGAGUGAAGAAGGCCCUCGGGUUGUAAAGCUCUUUUGUCCGGAAAGAAAAGCAUCGGGUUAAUACCCCGGUGUUCUGACGGUACCGGAAGAAUAAGCACCGGCUAACUUCGUGCCAGCAGCCGCGGUAAUACGAAGGGUGCAAGCGUUACUCGGAAUUACUGGGCGUAAAGCGUGCGUAGGUGGUUCGUUAAGUCUGAUGUGAAAGCCCUGGGCUCAACCUGGGAAUGGCAUUGGAAACUGGCGGACUAGAGUGCGGUAGAGGGUAGCGGAAUUCCCGGUGUAGCAGUGAAAUGCGUAGAGAUCGGGAGGAACAUCCGUGGCGAAGGCGGCUACCUGGACCAGCACUGACACUGAGGCACGAAAGCGUGGGGAGCAAACAGGAUUAGAUACCCUGGUAGUCCACGCCCUAAACGAUGCGAACUGGAUGUUGGGCUCAACUUGGAGCUCAGUAUCGAAGCUAACGCGUUAAGUUCGCCGCCUGGGGAGUACGGUCGCAAGACUG
Molecule: ribosomal RNA, 550 nt
Filed under: uncultured Thermomonas sp.
Lineage: Bacteria; Pseudomonadati; Pseudomonadota; Gammaproteobacteria; Lysobacterales; Lysobacteraceae
Description: bacterial SSU rRNA
Rfam family: Bacterial small subunit ribosomal RNA
Source: RNAcentral